RNAcentral lists this ribosomal RNA (380 nucleotides) under uncultured cyanobacterium. RNAcentral's name for it is "bacterial SSU rRNA". It matches the Rfam family "Bacterial small subunit ribosomal RNA", at positions 376 to 770 of the family's 1533-position model. The record is from RNAcentral. Lineage: Bacteria; Bacillati; Cyanobacteriota.
CGAAAGCCUGACGGAGCAAGACCGCGUGAGGGAGGAAGGCUCUUGGGUUGUAAACCCCUUUUAUCUGGGAAGAACAAAAUGACGGUACCAGAUGAAUAAGCCUCGGCUAACUCCGUGCCAGCAGCCGCGGUAAUACGGAGGAGGCAAGCGUUAUCCGGAUUUAUUGGGCGUAAAGAGUCCGUAGGUGGUUCAUCAAGUCUGCUGUUAAAGCGUGCAGCUCAACUGCAUAUAGGCAGUGGAAACUGUUGAACUAGAGUAUGGUAGGGGUAGGGGGAAUUCCCAGUGUAGCGGUGAAAUGCGUAGAGAUUGGGAAGAACACCGGUGGCGAAAGCGCUCUACUGGACGGCAACUGACACUCAGGGACGAAAGCUAGGGGAGCG